GAUGAACGCUGGCGGCGUGCCUAAUACAUGCAAGUCGAGCGAACAGACGAGGAGCUUGCUCCUCUGACGUUAGCGGCGGACGGGUGAAUAACACGUGGAUAACCUACCUAUAAGACUGGGAUAACUUCGGGAAACCGGAGCUAAUACCGGAUAAUAUAUUGAACCGCAUGGUUCAAUAGUGAAAGACGGUUUUGCUGUCACUUAUAGAUGGAUCCCCGCCGCAUUAGCUAGUUGGUAAGGUAACGGCUUACCAAGGCAACGAUGCGUAGCCGACCUGAGAGGGUGAUCGCCCACAUGGGAACUGAGACACGGUCCAGGCUCCUGAGGGACGCAGCAGUCGCGAAUCUGCCGCAAUGGGCGAAAGCCUUACGGAGUAACGCGGCGUGAGUGAUGACGGUCUUCGGAUCGUAAAACUCUGUUAUGAGGGAAGAACAAAUGUGUAAGUAACUAUGCACGUCUUGACGGUACCUAAUCAGAAAGCCACGGCUAACUACGUG
RNAcentral lists this ribosomal RNA (497 nucleotides) under uncultured bacterium. RNAcentral describes it as "partial 16S ribosomal RNA". It matches the Rfam family "Bacterial small subunit ribosomal RNA", at positions 28 to 507 of the family's 1533-position model. The record is from RNAcentral.